GAAAAUUAAAGGAGGGAAAUGCUGAUGACCUCUCCCUCUUGUGACAGGUCUCUAACAAGGCCAACUUGGUGUUGUGUUUAUAAAAAUGAAGAUGUCUCCUUGUGGGGAUAGGGCAUAAUACUAAAGAGCAUGCCUCUCAAAGUGCACUGGGUUGAAUUAGUGGAUGGGAGACUUGAAACUUAAAAAUGGGUAACUUUGUAAUAGUGGGAAAACCAGGUCCCCUGUUUGAGAGAGGUCUUCCUCUUGCUUUGCAGUUUCCCUUCAGCAAGAAGCUAUGGGGAGCUUCUAGGUCUAAUGCUGUUCCUCUGCUUUUGAGCUGAAUUUCUGCAUGGCAGCCUUUCUCGAAUGCAGUAGGGCUUCCCUGGCUUGAAGAUGGGUGUGCUGUCCUGAGGGAGGAGCAGUGUUGACUGUCUUACAGUGACCUUCUGCUUUCCUUUAAGAAGAGUCCACUAAGAACUGUAUUGGGUUUUUCAGUAGGAGGCUGUCACUGGAACACACAGGAACAGUCAGAGCAAUUACUGAAUUGGACUGUCUGAGCUGAAAGUUGAUGGUGCAUCCCUCUGGUAGAGGGAAUGCAAAAAAGAGAGGUCUUGAAUCAGUAGUGAGUUUAUUGCUGAAGAGCAAAGAUUCGUAUCUCACCCUAAGCUGGGUGUUUUUCACUGCCACACGCCCAGUCAUUUCACUAUACCCAUGUUCUGCCUGGUACCACUCUGACUACCUUCUACCACUAACAACCAGAAUGGCUGAGCAAGGAGUACUGUUUGCAGCUAGGAAGCCAAAAACAGCCAAAAACCCUUCUGUUGCUUCCUUCUGUGUUCUGUGGGGGUGCACAGUCAGAAGAGAGCUUCCACCAUGCAUACCAGUCCUUAUAAAGUAUCUUUCCUUAUGAACACCAGUACGGACUCCCUUUCACUGUCUCUUUUAGCUGGAGACCUGGGCUGUGCAUCUGUGUUCCUCCAUCUA
RNAcentral lists this long non-coding RNA (963 nucleotides) under Gallus gallus (chicken). RNAcentral describes it as "long non-coding RNA NONGGAT008298". Lineage: Eukaryota; Metazoa; Chordata; Aves; Galliformes; Phasianidae. The record is from RNAcentral.